UACGGGGGGGGCAAGCGUUGUUCGGAAUUACUGGGCGUAAAGGGCUCGUAGGCGGCCAAUUAAGUCGGAUGUGAAAUCCCCAGGCUUAACCUGGGAACUGCAUCCGAUACUGAUUGGCUUGAAUCCGGGAGAGGGAUGCGGAAUUCCAGGUGUAGCGGUGAAAUGCGUAGAUAUCUGGAGGAACACCGGUGGCGAAGGCGGCAUCCUGGACCGGCAUUGACGCUGAGGAGCGAAAGCCAGGGGAGCAAACGGG
This 253-nucleotide ribosomal RNA is filed under the name uncultured bacterium. RNAcentral's name for it is "partial 16S ribosomal RNA". It matches the Rfam family "Bacterial small subunit ribosomal RNA", at positions 524 to 776 of the family's 1533-position model. The record is from RNAcentral.